Molecule: long non-coding RNA, 5948 nt
Filed under: Triticum aestivum (bread wheat)
Lineage: Eukaryota; Viridiplantae; Streptophyta; Magnoliopsida; Poales; Poaceae
Description: long non-coding RNA (TAES_LNC022869)
Source: RNAcentral
GCCACAUCUCCAUCUCUCUCCCUCUCACCACUCCUUCUCCACCUCCGGCCGCCGCCACGGCCAGGCCGGCGUGGUGGGGCGCUUCCGCAGCCCAUCCACCCACCAGCACCAACACCCAGCGCCACCAUCACCUCCUGCCGCCAUUGCCACCAUCUCCACUUCGCCGCCAUACCUCACCAGCACCACGUUUGUGCGCCCGACUAGACAAGGCGUCUGGUGUCCCACGCGAUUCUCCUUGCCUGCUGCUGCUCCUUCCCUUGCCUCGCCGCUUCUCCCACGUCCCUACCGCUACUCAUCUCUCUGCUCCUCCUCCUCUGUUCCCCUAACGCUGUUGCUGCUCUUCUUCUCAACGCCCCCUGCUGCUCCUAAUCUUCUCUUCCAAAACUUGCUUCUUCUCUCUGUACCUCUUCUUGCGCUCAUGCUGCUGCUCCUCUAAACCUCUCUGCUGUGCCCCUUCUCUGAACCUCAAAACUGCUGCUGCACUUCUCUGAAUCCGAAUCCUUGCUGCUUCUNNNNNNNNNNNNNNNNNNNNNNNNNNNNNNNNNNNNNNNNNNNNNNNNNNNNNNNNNNNNNNNNNNNNNNNNNNNNNNNNNNNNNNNNNNNNNNNNNNNNNNNNNNNNNNNNNNNNNNNNNNNNNNNNNNNNNNNNNNNNNNNNNNNNNNNNNNNNNNNNNNNNNNNNNNNNNNNNNNNNNNNNNNNNNNNNNNNNNNNNNNNNNNNNNNNNNNNNNNNNNNNNNNNNNNNNNNNNNNNNNNNNNNNNNNNNNNNNNNNNNNNNNNNNNNNNNNNNNNNNNNNNNNNUCUCUCUCUCUCUCUCUCUCUCUCUCUCUCUCUCUCUCUCUCUCUCUGAUCUCAAAUUUCUGACAAGUUUAUUGUUCAGUACUUUGUAAUAUUCAGCAUUGAGAUGUUUUAUUAGAUGCAAUAUUCAGAUUUGGUAAAAACUUGCAACCUGACAAUUGUUCAGUUUCGUACUUGUAAAAUAUAGUGCACUUUAUUAUGUGCNNNNNNNNNNCUCUCUCUGAUCUCAAAUUUCUGACAAGUUUAUUGUUCAGUACUUUGUAAUAUUCAGCAUUGAGAUGUUUUAUUAGAUGUAAUAUUCAGAUUUGGUAAAAACUUGCAACCUGACAAUUGUUCAGUUUCGUACUUGUAAAAUAUAGUGCACUUUAUUAUGUGCUCUGACUAGUUAAUGUCCAGUUGUUUGGAUAAUAUUUAGUAUGUGUGAUAUGCUCUGUGAUAUAGUAAUCUUCUAGUAUAUGUCUGUGAUCCCCUUGUGUAUGUUUCUUGACAUCUACUGUAAUCUGUCAUGUACUAGUAACUUUGCUAUAGUCUAAUUGAUGUUCAGUUGUUAGUCUCUGUGCAAGCUAUAUACCAGUGGCAUUUAUGCUUGUGAUUUUCCAGUGAGCUUGUUUAAUUUCAGUUCAUAUGUUAGCACAAGUACCUUUGCUAUAUAAAUAUAUAUGUGUGUGCUCGUGAUUUAAACAAUCUGUUUUCUGUCCAGUAAUUUUGUUUCUUCCCUUCUUCCCUUUUUUAUACGCUUGCUAGAUAUAUUUAUAUGUCCAUGUCUUUUGACUUCCCUUGUCACUGAUGUCAGUAUUUCAAUUCCUCAAGCAUUACGAAAAUACCAAAAAGGAAGCAAGUAAAAUCUGAUCUAGCUUUAGACUUGCAUCGUCGCCGUCGCCUAGUCCCUGUGGAGAACACGACACUCGCAGUUUGGGCGUAAAAUCCCACUGUACUUACACCUGAUUAUUUUGGCGCCGUUGCCGGGGACUAGCAUCGAGCGAUUGUGCUAGGCUAUAGACUAGGUUUGUCUUGUUUUCAUCUUGUGCCAUAUAUUUGUGAUAUAUCUCUAGCCACUAACCCAUGUUCUAGUUAGUAUCUUUUUGUCUUCUUUUCCUUUUUGCAGGUUGGAUUAUCCUCUCGGAAAUGGCUUACUAUUCAGAUCAUCAUGCUUAUGCGAGCAACACUACAAACAGCACGGAAAGUAUUCAAGACCUGAUAAGUAAUAUUUCCCAUCGAUUAGAUGAUUUAGCUCGGCAGCGAGAAGUAGUUUUUUAUGAUAGGCCUAGCUCUUAUGAUCCUUUUUCUAGAGGCCAUCCUUAUGUUGCUCCUACCUGCCAUAUUUGUGGAUUUCAGGGCCAUACGCCCGCUGAAUGUCAGCGUGGUUACUCUUACCCUCCAGAUUGUUUUGGCAUGAGCUUCGCUCAAGAGCAUAGCUCAUACCAAAACAAUUACUCACAUGGGUGGCCUGAAAACCCGAAUAUGUCAUAUAGGAGCAACAACCUUCAGAUCUCACCAUUUGUUUCUAGUAAUCAUAUGCAGGGAUUUAGGUACAAUGAGGAGAGCCACAGCUAUGCACCACAACAAUGCUAUUCACCUCCUACUCAUAUACCUCAACACCAGGAGACAUGUCCAAUGGAGUUAAAUGGUCCUCCAUUUGGUCAACCAUCACCUUCAACACAAGUGCCUACUCAAGAUGAGUUCGAUGACAUAGACAAGCUCACACUUUUGAGUCUCGAGUUCACUUGGAGUGCCGAGGAUGACCCUAUUAGGAAGGUUAUACUAGAGGAAAUGAAGAAGAUCAAGAGUGGGAAUGAGCUAGUGGAAGAAGUAAAGAAGAUUGAGAAGAACAUCAACGCUGGCAGUACUAUUUCUUCACAGCUUGAGCUGAGUAAUUCUGGGAUUCCCCUUGAUACAUGUGAGGUUCCAAUACCGUCACAUCCAGCUGAGCAAGAUAGCAAGUGCCUUGAGCAUGAGAUACCUCAGAUUGAAGAUGAACUAGAAGACAAGGAACAAGAUGGUCAAGAGCUGCAAUUCCCAAGUGAUCAAGUUGAAGACUCAUCAUCUACUACUCCUGAAGAAGUACAAGAAGUUGUUGUAGAUGAAGAUGAAGAACCUGAGAUUCAUUGUCCUAUUAUCAUACAUGAGUAUGAUGUGUCAGGUUUACCCAAUCCUUUUGAUGACAUGAGUCCUUAUGAUUUAUUUGCUUCUACCUUGCAUUACAUGAUGCCAUCACUUAAGAUUGAUUUGAAAAAUCAUUUACUUGGGUAUGAUGAUACAUAUACUGUUGGUGGCAUUGCUCUCAUUUGUGAUGAUCACAAUUACUUUCCUCAUGCUAGUCUUGAGCUUAAUGAUAAAUGUCAUCCUCGUGUGAGUAUUAACCAUGCUGAUUUCUGCCAUCCUAAACAUGUGCUUUAUAGUUAUGCUUAUAUAAUUGGAUAUUCCAUUGAUGACUUGGAGGGCAUCGACCGUAUCACUUGUAGUUGUUUGUGUGAGUCUUAUUUAAGGCUUUUGCUACUGCACUGUUUACUACAUGCUGACCAGGUUCGUGGUGACAUUCCUUGGGAUCCUGGUGGAGUCAGAGCAUGGCGAUGAGGAGAAGCAAUGGGGUACACAUAUGGAAGAGUGAAGCUGGAGCAUCCAUGAGGAAGCAAGGGAGAAGAGCUGCAGCUGGUGAGGUGAUCGAGCGAGUGCUACAUGAUCAAAGCCCGGUGAGAUGUUUCAUGACCCAUUCUGAAUAUCAUAAAUACAUGCUGAAUUCAAUUGCUAGUUGGGUUGCUUGAAAUAGUUAUUACUUGUUGUCAAGCUGAAAUUCAUCUUUGGCAUUGUGCUUGAUGUGAAUUUGUGAACUUGAUUUCUGAAUGCCUUGUAAACUAGUGAUCUACACCAUGCAUGCUUUGCUGAAAUUUGUGGAAGUUAUUAGUUUUGAGUGCUCAAAUCCCUAGUACACUAGAAAACUUGAUCAUUUUUUGCUUUUACCUUGAUACACCUAGAUCACCAUGUUUAGAUGCUGAAUUUGUGCUAAGUGUGUUCCCAUUGAGAGCAAUCACCUAACCACUAUGGAUUAGCAUGCUAUGUUCCCUGGAUCGGUAGCAUGUGAACCAGACAUGGAGAAGUGAUGAUUCCUGUUUUUGUGCUUAUGCGUUGUUCAUUUAAGAUAAGUAAUAAUGAAUAAAUUAGUCUGACUACCUACAGUAGCAUGUCAUGUCCUCGGGAUCGGUGGCAUGUGAAAUCGGGUUAGCUUGGGCAGUAAUUAUUUAUAAAAACAUGUAAUUGUCGAACCAGGUGUAUACCAUGUUCUCGGGAUCGGUGGUAUGUUCCUUUGGGGAGACAAAUAAAAAAACUAAUAUUUGGUUGAGCCAGGUGUAUACCAUGUUCUCGGGAUCGGUGGUAUGUUCCUUUGGUGAGACUGAUAAAAUAAUAUCUUUGCUUCCUUCAAAUUCAAUUAGUGGUUCAACCGCAAUGUUGUGUUCCUGGUAAUAAGUGACCUGAUCACAAGCUUUGUUCUCAGGAUCAUGCUCUCUUUAGGAACCUUUUGGCACAUUCAUCAUUUAAACUUGUUGAUCCUCUUUUAUCAUUGUAAAGGUUUAAAUGGUCAUGCUUACUAGUGUCCUAUUGCUCUGUAGCACUCUUAACCAUUGAUUUUCACUAGCUAAGUCCAAAAGCAUCCAUUGUUUAGAGAUCUACUUCACUUGGACAUUCUCUAGUCAGCUCACUAUUCACUAUCUUGCUCUUGUCAUACGCCUUUACUUGAGGACAAGUAAAGAUUUAAGUGUGGGGGAACUUGAUAAGUAUAUUUCACAUAUAUAAUUUUGGUACUCAAAUGUAGCAUCUAUCGUGAUAUAUCCGUCCAUUCUUGCCAUGAUUGAUUGAAUAUUGCUUGAUAAUCAUAAAAAAAGAUCAUUUACUCGUCAUUUGUUUCUUCUGCAGAAAAGUGCGCAAAGGCACUCAAGAUUCUGACUAAGAGGCCGAAGAAUACAAGACAAGGACGGGAAAGAAAGAAGGGGGACCUGAGCAUGAAGGAAAGAAGAAACCGAGGGCCAAACUAGAGAAGGGAAGGGAUGUGCUUGCGAAGAAAGAAGGGAGCAGGACGGCCAAAUCAAAAAGUGGCAAAUCUGAUCGUGAGAUCAAAUCCCUAGCGCUAGCCACCGAUCCCCGGGGGGGCUGGCCACAUCUCCAUCUCUCUCCCUCUCACCACUCCUUCUCCACCUCCGGCCGCCGCCACGGCCAGGCCGGCGUGGUGGGGCGCCUCCGCAGCCCAUCCACCCACCAGCACCAACACCCAGCGCCAACAUCACCUCCUGCCGCCAGCGCCACCAGCUCCACUUCACCGCCGUACCUCACCAGCACCACGUUCGUGCGCCCGACCAGACGAGGCGUCUGGUGUCCCACGCGAUUCUCCUUGCCUCCUGCUGCUCCUUCCCUUGCCUCGCUGCUUCUCCCACGCCCCUACCGCUGCUCAUCUCUCUGCUCCUCCUCCUCUGUUCCCCUAACGCUGCUGCUUCUCUUCUUCUCAAUGCCCCCUGCUGCUCCUAAUCUUCUCUUCCAAAACUUGCUUCUUCUCUCUGUACCUCUUCUUGUGCUCAUGUUGCUGCUCCUCUAAACUUCUCUGUUGCGCCCCUUCUCUGAACCUCAAAAUUGCUGCUGCACUUCUCUGAAUCCGAAUCCUUGCUGCUUCUCCUUCUCUCUCUCUCUCUCUCUCUCUCUCUCUCUCUCUCUCUCUCUCUCUGAUCUCAAAUUUCUGACAAGUUUAUUGUUCAGUACUUUGUAAUAUUCAGCAUUGAGAUGUUUUAUUAGAUGCAAUAUUCAGAUUUGGUAAAAACUUGCAACCUGACAAUUGUUCAGUUUCGUACUUGUAAAAUAUAGUGCACUUUAUUAUGUGCUCUGACUAGUUAAUGUCCAGUUGUUUGGAUAAUAUUUAGUAUGUGUGAUAUGCUCCAUGAUAUAGUAAUCUUCUAGUAUAUGUCUGUGAUCCCCUUGUGUAUGUUUCUUGACAUCUACUGUAAUCUGUCAUGUACUAGUAACUUUGCUAUAGUCUAAUUGAUGUUCAGUUGUUAGUCUCUGUGCAAGCUAUAUACCAGUGGCAUUUAUGCUUGUGAUUUUCCAGUGAGCUUGUUUAAUUUCAGUUCAUAUGUUAGCACAAGUACCUUUGCUAUAUAAAUAUAUAUGUGUG